Long non-coding RNA from Microtus ochrogaster (prairie vole), 76 nucleotides. RefSeq lists it as uncharacterized. The transcript is spliced from 3 exons. The record is from RefSeq and is a predicted model, not a curated record. NCBI's taxonomy places the organism in Eukaryota, Metazoa, Chordata, Mammalia, Rodentia, Cricetidae.
AACUGCUCUUCCGAUCUGGAGAAUUGACAAUUCAAGGCAACCUGGGUUACACAGUACCAGGCUAGCCAGAGCAACG